UCCGUAGGUGAACCUGCGGAGGGAUCAUUACACAAAUAUGAAGGCGGGCUGGAACCUCUCGGGGUUACAGCCUUGCUGAAUUAUUCACCCUUGUCUUUUGCGUACUUCUUGUUUCCUUGGUGGGUUCGCCCACCACUAGGACAAACAUAAACCUUUUGUAAUUGCAAUCAGCGUCAGUAACAAAUUAAUAAUUACAACUUUCAACAACGGAUCUCUUGGUUCUGGCAUCGAUGAAGAACGCAGCGAAAUGCGAUAAGUAGUGUGAAUUGCAGAAUUCAGUGAAUCAUCGAAUCUUUGAACGCACAUUGCGCCCUUUGGUAUUCCAAAGGGCAUGCCUGUUCGAGCGUCAUUUGUACCCUCAAGCUUUGCUUGGUGUUGGGCGUCUUGUCUCUAGCUUUGCUGGAGACUCGCCUUAAAGUAAUUGGCAGCCGGCCUACUGGUUUCGGAGCGCAGCACAAGUCGCACUCUCUAUCAGCAAAGGUCUAGCAUCCAUUAAGCCUUUUUUUCAACUCUUGACCUCGGAUCAGGUAGGGAUACCCGCUGAACUUAAGCAUAUCAAUAAAGCGGAGGA
This 571-nucleotide ribosomal RNA is filed under the name Alternaria mali. RNAcentral describes it as "eukaryotic LSU rRNA". The stretch from base 196 to 349 matches the Rfam family "5.8S ribosomal RNA". Lineage: Eukaryota; Fungi; Ascomycota; Dothideomycetes; Pleosporales; Pleosporaceae. The record is from RNAcentral.